RNAcentral lists this transfer RNA (79 nucleotides) under Anguilla anguilla (European eel). Its description in RNAcentral is "tRNA-OTHER". Lineage: Eukaryota; Metazoa; Chordata; Actinopteri; Anguilliformes; Anguillidae. The record is from RNAcentral.
GGCAGUGUAGCACAGUGGGUUAGGAACUAGGCUUGUAACCGAAAGGUCAAAGGUUCGAUUCCUGGAUAGGACACUGCCG